CGCACCUUGCGCUCCUUGGUAUUCCGAGGAGCAUGCCUGUUUGAGUGUCAUUAAAUUCUCAACCUUACUAGUAAUAGUAAGGCUUGGAUUAUGGGAGUUGCUGGGUCAAUUCGAAUCAGCUCUUCUUAAAUGUAUUAGCAAUGACUUUGCUGACCAUCUUUGGUAUGAUAAUUAUCUAUAUCAUUGAUGAACAGUUUCGUGGUCUUGCUUCAAAUCGUCCUUACGGACAACUUGACAACUUUGACCUCAAAUCAGGUAGGACUACCCGCUGAACUUAA
Molecule: unclassified non-coding RNA, 278 nt
Filed under: Entoloma piceinum
Lineage: Eukaryota; Fungi; Basidiomycota; Agaricomycetes; Agaricales; Entolomataceae
Description: partial contains 5.8S ribosomal RNA, internal transcribed spacer 2, and large subunit ribosomal RNA
Source: RNAcentral